This 424-nucleotide long non-coding RNA is filed under the name Piliocolobus tephrosceles (Ugandan red Colobus). RNAcentral describes it as "lncRNA (ENSPTEG00000016860.1)". Lineage: Eukaryota; Metazoa; Chordata; Mammalia; Primates; Cercopithecidae. The record is from RNAcentral.
UCUUUGAAUUCUUUCUUUUAAUAAUUAAAUAUUUUUAUGUACAUUUUAAUUUUAACAGAAGAUUUGAAUCUAUUUAAUUGUUUAGAAAUAUACCAACAAAUUUUUAAAAGUACCAUAGAAAAUAUAUUUUCGGACAAUUUGCAAUUAUUUGAGUUAUCUAGAGAUAUAUUAAAUUUUUUUUGGUUUUCACAAAAUGAUGAAUUAAAAAAAAAAUCAUUUGAAAUCUCACUUAACCAUUUAACAGCUUUAUACUCAUCAAAUAAACACAUAAUGAGUGUUAAAACAAAACAAUAUAUUGAUAAAAUGAAAAGGGGUUAAGAACAUAUUAUUUUAAUUUUUAGUUUUAGUUCAUUAAUUAUUAUCAGUGAUAAUAUAUAUAUAUAUAUAUAUAUAUAUAUGUAAAUAAAUAAUUACAAUUUAAACA